GGUCAGGGCGGGAGUCGGAGAGCGCGCCCGGCGCAGCAGCGAGACGUGUGUCUGUGGAUUUCGGGCUGCGAUGGCGAGUAGGGAGCUAUGUCUCCUACUUGUGCUGGAAGCCGUUUCUCGCGCUCAUUCUCUGUAACUGGAGGAGGAGGGGUGGCCUUUAGGGUUCGCCUUGAUCGGAGGGGUCCGGUUCCCGCGCUCCCGCCCGGGCCGCAUAAUCUCGCCCAGCACCUUUUCUUCCUUCUUGGUUAUGGCUUGACGAACCCUUAAGGACUCGUCGGCCAACGUUGUGGCACAUUCCUGAAAAGGACGAGGACCCUUUACCCGAGGGGAGUAAAGACAGUACUUGGAAGAUGACGGGUCUAGUCAUCCUUGCACAAGGAAAGCCUUCUGCGCGCUUUGGCGUCUGUACAUGUUGGGACUCCUCAGGCACUGAAAUACUGAAGUCCAGCUCAUUCUCAGUCUCUUGAAAACUGUGUUCACUGUUGGACAGUACUGGCACAGAGUGAAGCCAGACUUCCCGUCCUGCCAGCCUCACCCCUUCAGCAGCCGGUACGAGCAACAGCAGGGCGGUUACCCUCCUGGCUACAGCUCUGGCCGAGGGGCGGGUGGAAAUGGACCCAACCUUUAUUCUGCAUGUGAGACCUCUGGACACCCCUCUGAGACUUCGCUUCCACCCAAGGAAACCACGUCUCUAGCUGAAAACCAAGUUGAAGAUUCACUAGAAGAUCCAAAUCUCCACUUGAAUAUUGAGGAACUCAACAAAGAAUUUAUGGUGAAAAGUGAAGAGCUCUACCAAUCUCUCAUGAAUAGCCACUGGCAGCCUCUCGAUACGGUAUACUCAGAAAUCCCAGACAAGACCCCCCAAGAGCAAGAUGCUGAUUAAGCUACCAAUUAUCAUAUUCAUUGUGUCUUAUUUUGUUUUUGUUUAAAAAGUUCUCGCAGAAAGGCACUGGAUUGUGUGUAUAAAUACAGAUUCUUGAGGGAGUGUCAUGUAAAUAAACGUUGCCAGCACGUUCA
This 1017-nucleotide unclassified non-coding RNA is filed under the name Bos taurus (domestic cattle). Its description in RNAcentral is "long non-coding RNA NONBTAT031960". Lineage: Eukaryota; Metazoa; Chordata; Mammalia; Artiodactyla; Bovidae. The record is from RNAcentral.